RNAcentral lists this long non-coding RNA (671 nucleotides) under Gorilla gorilla gorilla (western lowland gorilla). RNAcentral describes it as "lncRNA (ENSGGOG00000044471.1)". Lineage: Eukaryota; Metazoa; Chordata; Mammalia; Primates; Hominidae. The record is from RNAcentral.
GCCACCUUUGAUUGCAAAAUAGUUUCAAAUCAUAAGAUAUUCACUUGAAAGUUAAUUUCAACUAAGGCCUCUAAUGAACAUUAUUUUCUGUUCUGUAGGACUAUAAGACCUACUUGGACUUUGUCCUUGCAUUAGAAAACAGAAAGGAACCUGCAGCUCUACAAUAUAUUUUCAAACUGCUUGAUAUUGAGAACAAAGGAUAUCUGAAUGUCUUUUCACUUAAUUAUUUCUUUAGGGCCAUACAGGAACUAAUGAAAAUCCAUGGACAAGAUCCUGUUUCAUUUCAAGAUGUCAAGGAUGAAAUCUUUGACAUGGUAAAACCAAAGGAUCCUUUGAAAAUCUCUCUUCAGGAUUUAAUCAACAGUAAUCAAGGAGACACAGUAACCACCAUUCUAAUCGAUUUGAAUGGCUUCUGGACUUACGAGAACAGAGAGGCUCUUGUUGCAAAUGACAGUGAAAACUCUGCAGACCUUGAUGAUACAUGAUCUCUGAAAGACUAGACUGUCUUAUAUUAAGAGAUACUUGAAUGCUGCAUGUAAAGCCUUUAAAGCAAAAUCCUCAGAAAUGGUCUAAAUAAAACACUUGAUAUGCCUAGAGAACACAGCAAAUGUUUUGGUUACUGGAAUUUUGGUUGCAAUAGUUUAGAAGCAAUAGGACCAAAUAUUGCUUGU